Molecule: ribosomal RNA, 372 nt
Filed under: Triticum aestivum (bread wheat)
Lineage: Eukaryota; Viridiplantae; Streptophyta; Magnoliopsida; Poales; Poaceae
Description: partial small subunit ribosomal RNA
Source: RNAcentral
AUGUGGCGGCAUCAUACAUCAAGAAGCUCAAAGAGCAGGUUGAGAAGCUACAACACAAGAAUACAAGCCAUGGCUACCGUACUGGGAGUUAGUGGCAUCGCGACGCCCAUUAUCACUGCAACCACGAGCGGCGGCGCAGGGUCACCAGAAGGAGGAACAAAAUUGGAGGCAUCGCCACUAGUAGUGGAGGUGCGGCAACCCGGCGAUGCAAGCAUGGAGGUGAGACUGAUAUGCAGCACAGAGAGGCCUAUCAAGCUCCAUGAGGUGAUUACCAUUCUUGAGGAAGAAGGGGCUGUCAUCAUCAACGCUAAUCACUCUGCUGCUAGCCACAGAAUAUUCUACACUAUACACUCCCGGGCCUUAAAGCACUAG